Non-coding RNA from Pelobates cultripes (western spadefoot toad), 254 nucleotides. NCBI's taxonomy places the organism in Eukaryota, Metazoa, Chordata, Amphibia, Anura, Pelobatidae. The record is from the annotation of a GenBank genome assembly.
CCUUUACUGUGUUAACCUCUACCACUUCAGCUGGAAGGCUAUUUCAUGCAUCCACUACCCUCUUACUAAAGUAAUACUUCCUGAAAUUACUUUUAAACCUUGUUUCUAUCAUAUCCCCAGUCUUGUCUUUCCUCCAAGCUAUACAAGUUAAGAUCCUUUAACCUUUCCUGCUAAGUUUUAUCCUGCAAUCCAUGAACCAGUUUAGUAGCCCUUCUCUGAACUCUAAAGGUAUCAAUAUCCUUCUGAAGAUACGG